UUGAUACAUAAACAAUCAUAUUUUAUUAAUUAAAAUAUUAAAACUUUCUUUAAUUAAAACAUAAUUUUAAGUUAUUUAAAAACAGUUUUAAGUUAUUAAAAAAUGUGUUGAGUUGUAUCAAGGCUGAAAAUAAAGAAUGCUGUAAUUGUGAUGAUGUUAUUUCUGAAGAUCUUCAAAAAAAUUAUACAUUCAUAUGUUGUAAAAAAAGACUUUGCUAUUCAUGUGCUAAGCUAUACGAAUACGCUUAUUUACGUAAUUGUCCAUGUUGUGAAGGGAAUCUUAAAAGUGCUUUUAAUGUUAAAGCAAAAUGGAAAAAAGUGAAAUGUAGAAAAUGUAAUGCUAAAAGAGGAAUAAACAGCAUUUCGCCAUUUUGUCCAGACCUGUAUUGCGACGAUUGCAUCAAAACAAUAGAUAAAAAAAAUCACAUUUGCGAUCAUUGAAAAUACGAAAUUUCUAUUAAAAUUUUUUUGUUUUUGAAACUGUCUGGAAAUAUUAAAAUAC
Molecule: RNA transcript, 501 nt
Organism: Daktulosphaira vitifoliae (grape phylloxera)
Lineage: Eukaryota; Metazoa; Arthropoda; Insecta; Hemiptera; Phylloxeridae
Exons: 4
Source: RefSeq, a predicted model, not a curated record